AACGAGUGCAAAAAGGGUGCUUAUCACUUUCCAUUUGCGCAUCGCUGCCGAUAAUCUACGAAUCGUCGCGCCUGUUUUCAACUUUGAAACGCCAUGACAGGAUGCCAUUGCCGCCAUGGUGUAGGCGCCAUGCACAGAUAUCUCAAAGGCUUAGGAUUGGCCCUGACAAGCUGUGAUACUACAAUGCUAAGGGAACAAGCAAUGGACGUAUGGUGGCAUAUCUUGCGAAGAAACAGUUCACUAUGGCCAUUGGAGCGGGAAUUUUCUUCGUGCCUCUCCAUCUCUCGUCUAGCGGCCUGUUCCGUGAAGCCGCAAAAUUAACUUAGUAGACAAGGGAAAUAUACUAGUCUAUU
Rhipicephalus microplus (southern cattle tick) is the source of this 353-nucleotide long non-coding RNA. NCBI's taxonomy places the organism in Eukaryota, Metazoa, Arthropoda, Arachnida, Ixodida, Ixodidae. The record is from RefSeq and is a predicted model, not a curated record.